GAUGAACGCUGGCGGCGUGCCUAAUACAUGCAAGUCGAGCGAACAGACGAGGAGCUUGCUCCUCUGACGUUAGCGGCGGACGGGUGAGUAACACGUGGAUAACCUACCUAUAAGACUGGGAUAACUUCGGGAAACCGGAGCUAAUACCGGAUAAUAUAUUGAACCGCAUGGUUCAAUAGUGAAAGACGGUUUUGCUGUCACUUAUAGAUGGAUCCGCGCCGCAUUAGCUAGUUGGUAAGGUAACGGCUUACCAAGGCAACGAUGCGUAGCCGACCUGAGAGGGUGAUCGGCCACACUGGAACUGAGACACGGUCCAGACUCCUACGGGAGGCAGCAGUAGGGAAUCUUCCGCAAUGGGCGAAAGCUUGACGGAGCAACGCCGCGUGAGUGAUGAAGGUCUUCGGAUCGUAAAACGCUGUUAUUAGGGAAGAACAAAUGUGUAAGUAACGAUGCACGUCUUGACGGUACCGAAUCAGAAAGCCACGGCUAACUACGU
RNAcentral lists this ribosomal RNA (496 nucleotides) under uncultured bacterium. Its description in RNAcentral is "partial 16S ribosomal RNA". It matches the Rfam family "Bacterial small subunit ribosomal RNA", at positions 28 to 506 of the family's 1533-position model. The record is from RNAcentral.